CUGGGUGUAGCUCAGUGGUAGAGCACAUGCUUAGCAUGUGCUCGGCCCUGGGUUCAAAUCCCAGCUCCAAAC
This 72-nucleotide transfer RNA is filed under the name Heterocephalus glaber (naked mole-rat). It matches the Rfam family "tRNA". Rfam says of the family: Transfer RNA (tRNA) molecules are approximately 80 nucleotides in length. Their secondary structure includes four short double-helical elements and three loops (D, anti-codon, and T loops). The record is from Rfam by way of RNAcentral. Lineage: Eukaryota; Metazoa; Chordata; Mammalia; Rodentia; Bathyergidae.